This 254-nucleotide ribosomal RNA is filed under the name uncultured bacterium. RNAcentral describes it as "partial 16S ribosomal RNA". It matches the Rfam family "Bacterial small subunit ribosomal RNA", at positions 524 to 776 of the family's 1533-position model. The record is from RNAcentral.
UACGUAGGGUGCGAGCGUUGUCCGGAAUUAUUGGGCGUAAAGAGCUCGUAGGCGGUGUGUUACGUCGGCCGUGAAAACCUGCAGCUUAACUGUGGGCGUGCGGUCGAUACGGGCAUCACUGGAGUUCGGCAGGGGAGACUGGAAUUCCUGGUGUAGCGGUGAAAUGCGCAGAUAUCAGGAGGAACACCGGUGGCGAAGGCGGGUCUCUGGGCAACAACUGACGCUGAGGAGCGAAAGCGUGGGGAGCGAACAGG